GCGGUAGCCCGGGCAAGA
RNAcentral lists this microRNA (18 nucleotides) under Penaeus japonicus. Its description in RNAcentral is "miR-S7". The record is from RNAcentral. Lineage: Eukaryota; Metazoa; Arthropoda; Malacostraca; Decapoda; Penaeidae.